RNAcentral lists this ribosomal RNA (1061 nucleotides) under Nonomuraea sp. Its description in RNAcentral is "bacterial SSU rRNA". It matches the Rfam family "Bacterial small subunit ribosomal RNA", at positions 40 to 1118 of the family's 1533-position model. The record is from RNAcentral. Lineage: Bacteria; Bacillati; Actinomycetota; Actinomycetes; Streptosporangiales; Streptosporangiaceae.
CGGCAUGGCGGCUGCUACCAUGCAGUCGAGCGGAAGGCCCUUCGGGGUACUCGAGCGGCGAACGGGUGAGUAACACGUGAGCAACCUGCCCCUGACUCUGGGAUAAGCCCGGGAAACUGGGUCUAAUACCGGAUAUGACCGCCUCCGGCAUCGGAUGGUGGUGGAAAGUUUUUCGGUCGGGGAUGGGCUCGCGGCCUAUCAGCUUGUUGGUGGGGUAGUGGCCUACCAAGGCGACGACGGGUAGCCGGCCUGAGAGGGCGACCGGCCACACUGGGACUGAGACACGGCCCAGACUCCUACGGGAGGCAGCAGUGGGGAAUAUUGCGCAAUGGGCGGAAGCCUGACGCAGCGACGCCGCGUGGGGGAUGACGGCCUUCGGGUUGUAAACCUCUUUCAGCAGGGACGAAGUUGACGUGUACCUGCAGAAGAAGCGCCGGCUAACUACGUGCCAGCAGCCGCGGUAAUACGUAGGGCGCAAGCGUUGUCCGGAAUUAUUGGGCGUAAAGAGCUCGUAGGUGGCUGGUCGCGUCUGCCGUGAAAGCCCGCAGCUUAACUGCGGGUCUGCGGUGGAUACGGGCCGGCUAGAGGUAGGUAGGGGCAAGUGGAAUUCCUGGUGUAGCGGUGAAAUGCGCAGAUAUCAGGAGGAACACCGGUGGCGAAGGCGGCUUGCUGGGCCUUACCUGACGCUGAGGAGCGAAAGCGUGGGGAGCGAACAGGAUUAGAUACCCUGGUAGUCCACGCUGUAAACGUUGGGCGCUAGGUGUGGGACCCUUCCACGGGUUCCGUGCCGGAGCUAACGCAUUAAGCGCCCCGCCUGGGGGAGUACGGCCGCAAGGCUAAAACUCAAAGGAAUUGACGGGGGCCCGCACAAGCGGCGGAGCAUGUUGCUUAAUUCGACGCAACGCGAAGAACCUUACCAAGGUUUGACAUCACCCGGACCGCCUCAGAGAUGGGGCUUCCCUUUUGGGCUGGGUGACAGGUGGUGCAUGGCUGUCGUCAGCUCGUGUCCUGAGAUGUUUGGGUUAAGUCCCGCAACGAGCGCAACCCUUGGUCCAUGUUGC